AGUGAACGUUGGCGGCGUGGAUUAGGCAUGCGAGUCGAGCGAGAACCGUAGCAAUACGGGGACAGCGGCGAAAGGGACAGUAAUAUGUAGGUACCUACCCCGAGGUCUGGGAUAGCUGCGGGAAACUGCAGGUAAUACCGGAUAAUGUCCUCGGACCAAAGGUGUGAUUCCACCUCGGGAGGGGCCUGCAUCCUAUUAGCUAGUUGGCGGGGUAACGGCCCACCAAGGCGACGAUGGGUAGCGGGUGUGAGAGCACGACCCGCGUCAUUGGGACUGAGAGACUGCCCAGACUCCUACGGGUGGCUGCAGUCGAGAAUCUUCGGCGAUGGGGGAAACCCUGACCGGGCGACGCCGCGUGCGGGAUGAAGGCCCUCGGGUUGUAAACCGCUGUCGUAGAGGAGGAAAUGCAGGGGGGUUCUCCCCUUUGCUUGACCUAUUCUAGGAGGAAGUACGGGCUAAGUUCGUGCCAGCCGCCGCAGUAA
RNAcentral lists this ribosomal RNA (482 nucleotides) under uncultured bacterium. RNAcentral's name for it is "partial 16S ribosomal RNA". It matches the Rfam family "Bacterial small subunit ribosomal RNA", at positions 28 to 523 of the family's 1533-position model. The record is from RNAcentral.